This is a non-coding RNA of Cinara cedri, 4021 nucleotides long. NCBI's taxonomy places the organism in Eukaryota, Metazoa, Arthropoda, Insecta, Hemiptera, Aphididae. The record is from the annotation of a GenBank genome assembly.
UGUCACUCUUAUAUUUUGUUACUUUCAAGGGAGUUUAUCGAGGAGAGAGGAUGUUAAAGAGUCCGGUUCCCGAUAAUAAGUACAUAUAGAGUAAGUGUAUUUAUACAAUAAAGUUUAUUUGCACCGCGAUCAGAAUAUUAUUUAAGUGGUGCACCUGCGACUUGCAUCGCCGGGAGAAGGUGUGAAACGUGUCGGAGUUUCAAACUGAUUUCACAAACAACAAUAUUAUUUUUUUUUUAUCUAUUUGAAGGAUUUUGAUGCAUAUUAAACUAAAUUAUUGUUCAAAUGAUUUACAUCAUAUUUUAUAGGUACACUCCUAUAACAACAGUAUAUUAUUUAUUGAUCCUUUAUUUUUUUAUUUGUUCAAAUCCGAAUAAUAUUAAAAAUAAAACAAUGAAAACAAAAUGUAGGAGGUCAAAAAUAUACAUAAACUCGUGUUAAAUAAUCACCGCACAAUGUUUGAUAUGAACAAAAAAAACAAUAGGUUUCAAUUUAUAAACAUAUUUUUAAAAAGAGCUGAUGCUGGGGACGGGUGUGUUGCGGUUGUAAGUGGGAAGUUAUUGGGAAGGUAGAAUACAGUUAUUUAAUUUAUAUCUGUAAGGAACGAUAAAUCAUUGCUUACGAAAAACAAUUUGGAGCGAAGUUCCACCAUACCAUACACGUUUUGAAAGGUUGUAUUGUUUACGAUUUUCGUCAAAAUUUGAUUUUAAAACUCUUAUAAAAAAAAAAAAAAAAAAAAAAUAUUAUAUCUCAAUUUUUUUUGACCACUAAGUACGACUAUUAAUUAAUCUCCUGUUAAAUGUUCAAGCAUUUUUCUCUGGUGUAACAAUAAUUUUAUCCGCAAAGUACUUACAAACAAAUUAUACUCAGAAUCGAAUGUAUUUAUUUGUUUUCUACAAACAAUUAAAUGUACCUACUACAAUUGUGAUUUAUUUCUAUGUAAGCAUAUUAGUUUAUUUUUUGUUAUGUAUAUAAUGACGUGUAUUGUGUACUGUUAUAGUACUUAAAAAAUAAAUAACGUACUGCGUAGGUUUAUAAAACGUUCCUUUUUUUUUUCUGUUUGGUACAAAUGUUUUAUUGCAUAUUAUAAUAUAAUAUAAGCGAUUAACCCUGAACGUUUCUAUGCACUUUUCGUAAUUUUAAUUUUACAUAAUAAUAUAAUAAUCGUGUCAUAUAUUUUUUUUUUCUUUAGUGCACCGUCACUCCACCGUAUAAUGAAAUUCCGGUCUCUAUAGGCCUGUGAGGCUGUACAUACGAAAGUUGUUCGGCGGAAAUAGGUAGCCAACCGACUAACGACAAUGUAUACUCUCGGAUAUAGAGCAAUCAUUCCGUCGGGGGAAAAAAAAAAACCAAACCGGAACGUCGAAACGUCUCUAUCGGAACUAUAUUAAAAUAAUAAUAGGUACGACCCGGUAUUAUAACUUAUACGUGAAAUUAUUCGCGUGUGCCUAUGUAUCAUCAUUGUCGUAAAUUAUUAGAUUAUUUGUUUUAUCGUGUAUGUAUACCUAUAGGUACUAUACGUAUUAUGUAACCCGACGAAGAAAACGGGCACAAUUGCGUAUACACACACAUAUUAUCUUACUCCUCGACACACUUAGGAAAAAAAAAAAAAAAUCAUUCUGCAACAAGAGCUAGUACUAUUAUGAUAACUAUUUUAUACUAUAAUAAGUGUACUUACCACCUACAGCUGCUGCCACCUCUUCGCUCUACCCGCGUGUAUAAUAUAUACGAAUAGGUACUAUAACUAUAUUUUUCAUUUCUAUUGUGUAUCGUGUCGUACACACUCGGUACCUAUAAUAUAUUGUCUACGCGCUUGUAAUUACACAUAACCGUUGUAUUUAUUUAAUUUGGUUUUACGAAAGUCCCCGCAGCUACACGUUUUGUCAAUAUUUGUACUCCAGAACAAUCCGACUUGUUGUCGCAUUUAUGCAGUGUAUAUGCCAGUGAUUGAAGUGGCAAGUUUUCGAAGGGUAACUUACCGAAAAUUUGGGGACGUUCCAAAGAACUGACCAAACCUCAUCAAGCUUUCAGGGAGCCCAUUAGAGAGACGAGAUUUCCAACAUUUUUUCCUCUCACACGCAUUUAUUUGUUCAUAAAAAUGUCAUAAUACUAUAGGAUUUAAAAAAAAAAUGCACACCUCCCCUAAGAUAUUUUCCUAUGCAUAUCUGUCUGCUCGAUGAAAGUAAAACAGAUUCUGAUUACGUACAAUUUUAAUCUAAAUAUUUAGAUUGAUUAACAAGUUUUGACGGGAGUGAUUUUAUGUGUUAUGAUAAAAAAAUAUCAUAUUUUUGUUCGUCGAUAUCACAGCUGAAAAAAUAGAUAUUUAAAAUCACCAUUUACACAAAUUUUAAAAAUUGGAGACAAUUUUAAUAACCUACACCGAUCACCUUAAGUACAAAAAUUUAGUAAUAUACAUAUGUAUAUAUAUUUUAGUUGAAUAAUUAUUAGACAAUAAUAUUAUUGUGUGUAUAACUAUUAUUAUAUACGUGUUUCUUUAAAUUUUCUUUUUGGUAAAACUUGACGGGUUUGAAUAAUAUAACUUGGUUAAAUAAAGUUAAUUGACAACAAAUUAAUUAUUUGUAUUUUAUUAAUUAUUAUUUUAUUUGAUAAUUAUAGUAUUAUUUGUUUUCAUUAAAAUUGUUAAUAUCAUAUUAUAAUGCGGAAAACUAUUAAACCCUAAGAUAGUGAUUUUUUUAAAAUAGUAAUUACCAAUCAAUACGUAAAACCUCUUGGAAAAUCAAAAAAGAACUUUCUUAAAGUUCCAAAGUACCAGAAAAAGUGCUACACUUUAAAAUUGAAGCAAGAUUUUUGGUAGAAAAGUUGUUCAUAAAUAAAAAAAAAAAAUAAACAUCAUUGUAAAACUAGUAAAUAUUCCUCGCCUAUGUUCUGAAUCUAAACCAAUUGAAAUUAACAUCACGUGUUACGUAUAUAUUUCAAAAUGAAUUCGUUGUUUGCAACAAAGUUUACACGAAAAAAUAAAUAAAUUGAGUUAAUUUAAACAAAAAUGAAAGGCUAUAAAAGCUCUAAAAAAUAAAAAAAUUAAAUCAACUAAACCUUUGACGUUUUUAAUACUCGUUAAUAUUAUAAAUACCUAGCGUUGCGCCUGUUGAUCGCUAUACAAAUUUAUUUAGUUCCAUAUAGGUAGCACUAAAAUCACUUUAUUAUAUCUACCUACCUACUUGAAUAUUUAGUGAGUCAGUAAGUGUGUGAUUAAUUAGCGUAAACGUGUUUUUUUAAAUAUAUUUUCUUAUAGAAAAAAAAACAAUUUAUAAAAUAACACGUUUGAUUUUAAUUUUAUUAUUUAUUAUGUUAGGUUAGGUUAAGUUGUUAAAUGGUACUAUUAGCAUAUUAAGGCUGUGAAUUUAAUGCGUUAAACCACUAAUAAACUUGCACGGUGUAAUUAUGCAAUAGAAACUGACGAAAUGUAGACGUAGAAAUAUAUAAAAAAAUGCAUUAAUUUUUAAAGAAUAAGUAAAAAAAAAAAGACAGACAUACUUUGCAAGUAGGUGCAAUCAUUUUUGUAGGUGAGAAGAUAGGAUACAGAUGGGAUUUCAAUGAGAUAUCUUUAAUAUAUAUUUAAUGUAUAAACAACAAUAAAUCAUUGCUAAAGAAAACACGAUUUUAAGUUGAUAGUGUUGCAUUGUCAACAAUACAGGUAAAAUAAUUAAAUAGACAUUAUAUAUAUUUUUAAAUAAUAUUUAUUUAAUGAUACAUCGAUUUUCCCGGUUUCCCAUUUUCUUUCCAGGUUUACACACAUGAUAUUAAAUGAAUAAAAAAAUUAAAUAAAGAUAUUAAAUUCUCAUCUGUAUCCUACCUUCUCAACUUCCCACCUACAACAGUGGCUGCACCCACAUGCAAAAUAUGUCCGUCCUUUUUUUAUUGUUAUUAUUAUUAUUUAGAUGAUUUAAUUAAAGUAGUAUACAUGACGAUUUCACUACUUUUUUCUUAAAAUCGAACUUAAAAAACUGUUCUAGGAUAACGGAGAUGGGUGAAGUCACUUUAUAGGUAAUUGAAUGUAUAC